Molecule: ribosomal RNA, 527 nt
Filed under: uncultured bacterium
Lineage: Bacteria
Description: partial 16S ribosomal RNA
Rfam family: Bacterial small subunit ribosomal RNA
Source: RNAcentral
UGGGGAAUAUUGGACAAUGGGCGCAAGCCUGAUCCAGCAAUGCCGCGUGUGUGAAGAAGGCCUUCGGGUUGUAAAGCACUUUUAUCAGGAGCGAAACGCUGUCGGCUAAUACCCGGCGGAACUGACGGUACCUGAGGAAUAAGCACCGGCUAACUUCGUGCCAGCAGCCGCGGUAAUACGAAGGGUGCAAGCGUUAAUCGGAAUUACUGGGCGUAAAGCGUGCGUAGGCGGUUUCUUAAGUCUGCUGUGAAAUCCCCGGGCUCAACCUGGGAAUGGCAGUGGAUACUGGGAGGCUAGAGUGUGUCAGAGGGUGGUGGAAUUCCCGGUGUAGCGGUGAAAUGCGUAGAGAUCGGGAGGAACAUCAGUGGCGAAGGCGGCCACCUGGGACAACACUGACGCUGAGGCACGAAAGCGUGGGGAGCAAACAGGAUUAGGAUACCCUGGUAGUCCACGCCCUAAAGCGAUGCGAACUGGAUGUUGGUCUCAACUCGGAGAUCAGUGUCGAAGCUAACGCGUUAAGUUCGCCG